This 253-nucleotide ribosomal RNA is filed under the name uncultured bacterium. RNAcentral describes it as "partial 16S ribosomal RNA". It matches the Rfam family "Bacterial small subunit ribosomal RNA", at positions 524 to 776 of the family's 1533-position model. The record is from RNAcentral.
UACGUAGGGUGCGAGCGUUAAUCGGAAUUACUGGGCGUAAAGCGCGCGCAGGCGGACCAUUAAGUUGGGCGUGAAAUCUCCCGGCCUAACUGGGAGGGGUCGCCCAAGACUGGUGGUCUUGAGGACAGCAGAGGUGGGUGGAAUUCCUGGUGUAGCGGUGAAAUGCGUAGAUAUCAGGAGGAACACCGGUGGUGUAGACGGCUUUCUGGACCGUAACUGACGCUGAGACACGAAAGCGUGGGUAGCAAACAGG